GAGAAGCUUGCUUCUCUGAUGUUAGCGGCGGACGGGUGAGUAACACGUGGAUAACCUACCUAUAAGACUGGGAUAACUUCGGGAAACCGGAGCUAAUACCGGAUAAUAUUUUGAACCGCAUGGUUCAAAAGUGAAAGACGGUCUUGCUGUCACUUAUAGAUGGAUCCGCGCUGCAUUAGCUAGUUGGUAAGGUAACGGCUUACCAAGGCAACGAUGCAUAGCCGACCUGAGAGGGUGAUCGGCCACACUGGAACUGAGACACGGUCCAGACUCCUACGGGAGGCAGCAGUAGGGAAUCUUCCGCAAUGGGCGAAAGCCUGACGGAGCAACGCCGCGUGAGUGAUGAAGGUCUUCGGAUCGUAAAACUCUGUUAUUAGGGAAGAACAUAUGUGUAAGUAACUGUGCACAUCUUGACGGUACCUAAUCAGAAAGCCACGGCUAACUACGUGCCAGCAGCCGCGGUAAUACGUAGGUGGCAAGCGUUAUCCGGAAUUAUUGGGCGUAAAGCGCGCGUAGGCGGUUUUUUAAGUCUGAUGUGAAAGCCCACGGCUCAACCGUGGAGGGUCAUUGGAAACUGGAAAACUUGAGUGCAGAAGAGGAAAGUGGAAUUCCAUGUGUAGCGGUGAAAUGCGCAGAGAUAUGGAGGAACACCAGUGGCGAAGGCGACUUUCUGG
RNAcentral lists this ribosomal RNA (674 nucleotides) under Staphylococcus aureus. Its description in RNAcentral is "bacterial SSU rRNA". It matches the Rfam family "Bacterial small subunit ribosomal RNA", at positions 73 to 732 of the family's 1533-position model. The record is from RNAcentral. Lineage: Bacteria; Bacillati; Bacillota; Bacilli; Caryophanales; Staphylococcaceae.